AUUUAUAUAGUUUAAGUAAAACAUUACAUUUUCACUGUAAAAACAAAGAGCACUUUUAUAAAUA
RNAcentral lists this transfer RNA (64 nucleotides) under Rhinotermes marginalis. Its description in RNAcentral is "tRNA-Glu". It matches the Rfam family "tRNA". Rfam says of the family: Transfer RNA (tRNA) molecules are approximately 80 nucleotides in length. Their secondary structure includes four short double-helical elements and three loops (D, anti-codon, and T loops). The record is from RNAcentral. Lineage: Eukaryota; Metazoa; Arthropoda; Insecta; Blattodea; Rhinotermitidae.